This 433-nucleotide ribosomal RNA is filed under the name uncultured bacterium. RNAcentral's name for it is "partial 16S ribosomal RNA". It matches the Rfam family "Bacterial small subunit ribosomal RNA", at positions 29 to 507 of the family's 1533-position model. The record is from RNAcentral.
AGCGAACGCUGGCGGCAGGCCUAACACAUGCAAGUCGAACGGAUCCUUCGGGAUUAGUGGCGGACGGGUGAGUAACACGUGGGAACGUGCCCUUUGGUUGGGAACAACUCAGGGAAACUUGAGCUAAUACCGGAUGUGCCCUUCGGGGGAAAGAUUUAUCGCCAUUGGAGCGGCCCGCGUCUGAUUAGCUAGUUGGUGAGGUAACGGCCCACCAAGGCGACGAUCAGUAGCUGGUCUGAGAGGAUGAUCAGCCACACUGGGACUGAGACACGGCCCAGACUCCUACGGGAGGCAGCAGUGGGGAAUCUUGCGCAAUGGGCGAAAGCCUGACGCAGCCAUGCCGCGUGAAUGAUGAAGGUCUUAGGAUUGUAAAAUUCUUUCAGCGGGGACGAUAAUGACGGUACCCGCAGAAGAAGCUCCGGCUAACUUCGUG